Molecule: long non-coding RNA, 675 nt
Filed under: Anser cygnoides (Swan goose)
Lineage: Eukaryota; Metazoa; Chordata; Aves; Anseriformes; Anatidae
Description: lncRNA (ENSACDG00005004996.1)
Source: RNAcentral
AUGAGCGGGUCAUUAAUAGUUAAUGAAACAGCUGCUGGUGAUCUCAGAAGCAAAGGCAAGAUGAGAACAGAAGUGUUUGCCCAUUCACUACAGUGUGAUAAUGCAAAGGAACGGCUUGAUCCUUUCACCAGAUCCUUCCCGUCAGGACAGGACCCUGGGGCUGGUCACAGACCUCCAGGAGAACUGCACGCAGCCUCUCUGUGUGUGGUGGCAGCCAGGGGACGGCUCCCUUGUGCUGGACCCAGCAGUGGUGGGUCCCAGGGACGGAGACUGCUGCAAAAAGUCUGCACGGACUGUCCCGAUGCUCCAGGCACAUCUGCUGGGGGGAGAAAAACUCAGGACUACGUCCAACUGAAACACUGUCCUGAAUGCAUGUCCAGACCUUGUGAAAGGGAGGUGAGGAAGGGUCCUCCAGUGGGGCUGAACCAGCACGAGGCGAUGGGGAAGGACGCAACGGGUCCAAGGCAGCAGACUUCAGUACAUGAUCCAGCUGUGACCCCAGAAAAUGGACAGACAGGAGACUCAGAUUUUGAAACUUGUGUUUGCCUCGAGGAACGCUUCCCAAACCACCUCUAUCCCCCUGCCAUAACCACGGGGCGCACAGACGGGACUCCGGCACAUCCGCAGAGGAGAGGAGCCCUGCAUAAACCGAGUUUGAGCGACGGCAAAACUUGA